UACAGAGGGGGCAAGCGUUGUUCGGAAUCAUUGGGCGUAAAGCGCGUGUAGGCGGCUUGGCAAGUCAGUUGUGAAAGCCCGGGGCCCAACCCCGGAACUGCAUCUGAAACUGCUUGGCUCGAGUCCCGGAGAGGAAGGCAGAAUUCCCGGUGUAGGGGUGAAAUCCGUAGAUAUCGGGAGGAAUACCAGCGGCGAAGGCGGCCUUCUGGACGGUGACUGACGCUGAGACGCGAAAGCGUGGGGAGCAAACAGG
RNAcentral lists this ribosomal RNA (253 nucleotides) under uncultured bacterium. RNAcentral describes it as "partial 16S ribosomal RNA". It matches the Rfam family "Bacterial small subunit ribosomal RNA", at positions 524 to 776 of the family's 1533-position model. The record is from RNAcentral.